Long non-coding RNA from Mustela erminea (ermine), 218 nucleotides. RefSeq lists it as uncharacterized. The transcript is spliced from 2 exons. The record is from RefSeq and is a predicted model, not a curated record. NCBI's taxonomy places the organism in Eukaryota, Metazoa, Chordata, Mammalia, Carnivora, Mustelidae.
UUGCCAGAAAUAGGAAAUUUAAAGCCAAAAAGUCCAUCAAUUUUACCUGAAGCUUCAGAAGAUCCCGUGAAGAAUGUACAAUAAUCAGCAGUUUGCUUACUUCCACACCAACAGAAGGAAAUUUACACUUAUAUGCCCUGAAGAAUUGACUCAUUUCUGUAAAUGACAUAUGGUGGAGAAUCCUUUUUGAAAAUAAAUACUCCUGUUUUCAUGCUGAA